UCCUUUGGAGCAGAAACCUCAGCCCCUUUCCUCGUCUUCGCCCUCCUCUGUUUUCACAAUGCAAGAAGAACGCCGACCGCAGAGACGAUAGGGUUCCGUUCCCUUCUGCAAAGAAGAAGAAGAAGGAGACCAGAUAGCGGAGUUGAUGACCGUCCACUUCCUCCCUUCGCCGAUGGAGAGGAAAGAGGGAUCUCCCUCCUUCGAUUUCAUGCAAGAGGAACAGAAUUCUCCCAACGGCAAGCUUCUGUUCGUUCUUCUUGCAGAUCUCUCCUUCUUGCAGAAGAACGAAGAGACAACCCCU
RNAcentral lists this long non-coding RNA (301 nucleotides) under Musa acuminata (dwarf banana). RNAcentral's name for it is "long non-coding RNA (MACU_LNC009752)". The record is from RNAcentral. Lineage: Eukaryota; Viridiplantae; Streptophyta; Magnoliopsida; Zingiberales; Musaceae.